RNAcentral lists this ribosomal RNA (433 nucleotides) under uncultured bacterium. RNAcentral describes it as "partial 16S ribosomal RNA". It matches the Rfam family "Bacterial small subunit ribosomal RNA", at positions 29 to 507 of the family's 1533-position model. The record is from RNAcentral.
AGCGAACGCUGGCGGCAGGCCUAACACAUGCCAGUCGAACGGAUCCUUCGGGAUUAGUGGCGGACGGGUGAGUAACACGUGGGAACGUGCCCUUUGGUUCGGAACAACUCAGGGAAACUUGAGCUAAUACCGGAUGUGCCCUUCGGGGGAAAGAUUUAUCGCCAUUGGAGCGGCUCGCGUCUGAUUAGCUAGUUGGUGAGGUAACGGCCCACCAAGGCGACGAUCAGUAGCUGGUCUGAGGGGAUGAUCAGCCACACUGGGACUGAGACACGGCCCAGACUCCUACGGGAGGCAGCAGUGGGGAAUCUUGCGCAAUGGGCGAAAGCCUGACGCAGCCAUGCCGCGUGAAUGAUGAAGGUCUUAGGAUUGUAAAAUUCUUUCAGCGGGGACGAUAAUGACGGUACCCGCAGAAGAAGCUCCGGCUAACUUCGUG